This is a long non-coding RNA of Myotis lucifugus (little brown bat), 682 nucleotides long. RefSeq lists it as uncharacterized. The transcript is spliced from 2 exons. The record is from RefSeq and is a predicted model, not a curated record. Lineage: Eukaryota; Metazoa; Chordata; Mammalia; Chiroptera; Vespertilionidae.
GAAUGGAAAAACAAUUGAAGCCAAAAUUAGAGUCCUGAGUGAGUGCCAUACUCCAGGUUGAAGAGAUGGUGUCCUCUCCAAUCACAUCUUCACUCAGCCUCCUCUCUCCUUUUCCAGAAAAAAAAAAUACCCCACGGAUCCAAGAGAACUUGUGCUACUUCGGGCCCAGCUAACCCAGAGAGCCAGGGAGACUCCCCACUGCCCCCCAGCAGGCGACUCUGGGGACACGCUCUGUAAUCUCAAACCCUGUCUGCCUUCUGAGAUUUAGAGGCCAGUUUAACACUAACUGAAAUCGGGUGGAUUUUAUGAAACUUAACCAAAUGUCCUCUUUCUCUUCAGGAGCCCAGCGACCUCUGGCUCUAGCACUCUCCAGGGCUCAGCUCUCCAGGAAAACCACAAGUCGCUUACAGUGUCUGCUCAGGGCAGGCUGUCCUUCCCCAGCCUGUCUGAGUUGCAGUUAGACCAGAGCUGGCUUGAACAAUUGACAUUCAAAGGAAUUGCCCAGAGGGACUUCACAAUCAGUAAUCAUUCCCUUUCUGACCAGCAGGCUGACUUCUGUCCUUGGUUGAGACUAGUCUAGGCCUUUAUGUAACAGUACAGAUUUCACAUUCCUGAACAGCGCACACAUUCCUUCCUCAUGUUCUGUGAAAUCACCUUGUUAAUGUAAAAACAUUCAAACCUG